GUAGGGAAUUUUCCACAAUGGGCGCAAGCCUGAUGGAGCAACGCCGCGUGAGGGAUGACGGUCUUCGGAUUGUAAACCUCUUUGGAGUGGGAAGAACGAUUUCCGUGUUAACAGCGCGGGAAAGUGACGGUACCACUAGAACAAGACACGGCUAACUCUGUGCCAGCAGCCGCGGUAAUACAGAGGUGUCAAACGUUGUCCGGAAUUACUGGGCGUAAAGGGCGCGUAGGCGGCCUUAUAAGUCAGAUGUGAAAGCUCCGGGCUCAACCCGGGAAUUGCAUCUGAUACUGUAAGGCUUGAGUUCGGUAGAGGAGGGCGGAAUUCCAGGUGUAGCGGUGAAAUGCGUAGAUAUCUGGAGGAACACCCGUGGCGAAGGCGGCUCUCUGGUCCGAAACUGACGCUGAGGUGCGAAAGCUAGGGUAGCAAACAGGAUUAGAAACCCCUGUAGUCC
This 451-nucleotide ribosomal RNA is filed under the name uncultured bacterium. RNAcentral describes it as "bacterial SSU rRNA". It matches the Rfam family "Bacterial small subunit ribosomal RNA", at positions 354 to 796 of the family's 1533-position model. The record is from RNAcentral.